Molecule: signal recognition particle RNA, 100 nt
Filed under: Acidobacteriota bacterium
Lineage: Bacteria; Pseudomonadati; Acidobacteriota
Description: signal recognition particle sRNA small type
Rfam family: Bacterial small signal recognition particle RNA
About the family: The signal recognition particle (SRP) is a universally conserved ribonucleoprotein involved in the co-translational targeting of proteins to membranes. Archaeal SRP consists of a 7S RNA and homologues of the eukaryotic SRP19 and SRP54 proteins.
Source: RNAcentral
GUUCGGGUCCUGUGCAACGACCGAGACCGAACCUCGUCAGGCCCGGAAGGGAGCAGCGAUAAGGUUUUCCGGGCGGGUGCCGCAGAUCAACCUGAACCCU